This 612-nucleotide ribosomal RNA is filed under the name Salmonella enterica. RNAcentral describes it as "partial 23S ribosomal RNA". It matches the Rfam family "Bacterial large subunit ribosomal RNA", at positions 1 to 652 of the family's 2925-position model. The record is from RNAcentral. Lineage: Bacteria; Pseudomonadati; Pseudomonadota; Gammaproteobacteria; Enterobacterales; Enterobacteriaceae. RNAcentral also lists the same sequence under 3 other names.
GGUUAAGCGACUAAGCGUACACGGUGGAUGCCCUGGCAGUCAGAGGCGAUGAAGGGCGUGCUAAUCUGCGAUAAGCGCCGGUAAGGUGAUAUGAACCGUUAUAACCGGCGAUACCCGAAUGGGGAAACCCAGUGUGACUCGUCACACUAUCAUUAACUGAAUCCAUAGGUUAAUGAGGCGAACCGGGGGAACUGAAACAUCUAAGUACCCCGAGGAAAAGAAAUCAACCGAGAUUCCCCCAGUAGCGGCGAGCGAACGGGGAGGAGCCCAGAGCCUGAAUCAGCAUGUGUGUUAGUGGAAGCGUCUGGAAAGGCGCGCGAUACAGGGUGACAGCCCCGUACACAAAAGCGCAUGUGCUGUGAGCUCGAUGAGUAGGGCGGGACACGUGGUAUCCUGUCUGAAUAUGGGGGGACCAUCCUCCAAGGCUAAAUACUCCUGACUGACCGAUAGUGAACCAGUACCGUGAGGGAAAGGCGAAAAGAACCCCGGCGAGGGGAGUGAAAAAGAACCUGAAACCGUGUACGUACAAGCAGUGGGAGCACCCUUUGGGGUGUGACUGCGUACCUUUUGUAUAAUGGGUCAGCGACUUAUAUUCUGUAGCAAGGUUAACCG